This 253-nucleotide ribosomal RNA is filed under the name uncultured bacterium. Its description in RNAcentral is "partial 16S ribosomal RNA". It matches the Rfam family "Bacterial small subunit ribosomal RNA", at positions 524 to 776 of the family's 1533-position model. The record is from RNAcentral.
GACAGAGGGGGCAAGCGUUGUCCGGAGUUACUGGGCGUAAAGGGCGCGGAGGCGGGGCGGUAAGUCAGUGGUGAAAGCCUGCAGCUUAACUGUAGAAUUGCCAUUGAUACUGUCGCUCUUGAAUGCGGUUGAGGCAGGCGGAAUGUGUAAUGUAGCGGUGAAAUGCUUAGAUAUUACACAGAACACCGAUUGCGUAGGCAGCUUGCUAAACCGUGAUUGACGCUGAGGCACGAAAGCGUGGGGAGCAAACAGG